RNAcentral lists this ribosomal RNA (245 nucleotides) under uncultured Bacteroidales bacterium. Its description in RNAcentral is "partial 16S ribosomal RNA". It matches the Rfam family "Bacterial small subunit ribosomal RNA", at positions 524 to 768 of the family's 1533-position model. The record is from RNAcentral. Lineage: Bacteria; Pseudomonadati; Bacteroidota; Bacteroidia; Bacteroidales.
UACGGACGGUCCGGGCGUUAUCCGGAUUUAUUGGGUUUAAAGGGAGCGCAGGCGGACCAGCCAAGCGUGCCGUGAAAGCGCGGGGCUCAACCCCGUACAGCGGCGCGAACUGGCGGUCUUGGUUGCGGGAAGGGAAGGCGGAACUCGUGGUGUAGCGGUGAAAUGCAUAGAUAUCACGAAGAACUCCGAUCGCGAAGGCAGCCUUCCGGCCCGCUAACGACGCUCAUGCUCGAAGGCGCGGGUAU